This 430-nucleotide unclassified non-coding RNA is filed under the name soil metagenome. RNAcentral's name for it is "partial contains 5.8S ribosomal RNA, internal transcribed spacer 2, and large subunit ribosomal RNA". The stretch from base 1 to 120 matches the Rfam family "5.8S ribosomal RNA", at positions 35 to 154 of the family's 154-position model. The record is from RNAcentral.
GAUGAAGAACGCAGCGAAAUGCGAUACGUAAUGUGAAUUGCAGAAUUCAGUGAAUCAUCGAAUCUUUGAACGCAUAUUGCGCUCUCUGGUAUUCCGGAGAGCAUGCUUGUUUGAGUAUCAGUAAACACCUCAACUUCCAUAUCUUUUUUGAAAUGGGAGUUGGACUUGAGUGAUCCCAACGCUUUUCCUCACCGAAAAGUGGCGGGUUACUUGAAAUGCAGGUGCAGCUGGACUUUUCUCUGAGCUAUAAGCAUAUCUAUUUAGUCUGCCUAAAAAACAGAUUAUUACCUUUGCUGCAGCUAACAUAAAGGAGAUUAGUUCUUGUGCUGACUGAUGCAGGAUUCACAAAGACGGCUUCGGCCGACUUUGUAAACUCGAUCUCAAAUCAAGUAAGACUACCCGCUGAACUUAAGCAUAUCAUAAGCGAGGA